Non-coding RNA from Pteropus alecto (black flying fox), 119 nucleotides. The record is from Rfam. Lineage: Eukaryota; Metazoa; Chordata; Mammalia; Chiroptera; Pteropodidae.
GUCUAUAGUCAUGCUACCCUGAACAAGCCCGAUCCCAUCUGAUCUCAGAAGCUAAGCAGGGUCGGGCCGGGUUAGUACUUGGAUGGGAGACCACCUAGGAAGACCAGGUGCUAUAGGCA